UAGGGAAUCUUGCACAAUGGGCGAAAGCCUGAUGCAGCAACGCCGCGUGAAGGAUGAAGGCCUUCGGGUUGUAAACUUCUGUUCUAAGGGAAGAAAGAAAUGACGGUACCUUAGGAGCAAGCCCCGGCUAACUACGUGCCAGCAGCCGCGGUAAUACGUAGGGGGCAAGCGUUAUCCGGAAUUAUUGGGCGUAAAGAGUGCGUAGGUGGUUACCUAAGCGCAAGGUUUAAAUUAGAGGCUCAACCUCUACAUGCCUUGCGAACUGGGCUACUUGAGUGCAGGAGGGGAAAGCGGAAUUCCUAGUGUAGCGGUGAAAUGCGUAGAUAUUAGGAGGAACACCGGCGGCGAAGGCGGCUUUCUGGACUGUAACUGACACUGAGGCACGAAAGCGUGGGUAGCAAACAGGAUUAGAUACCCUGGUAGUCCACGCCGUAAACGAUGAGCACUAGGUGUUGGGUCCGUUAGGACUCGGUGCCGCAGUUAACGCAAUAAGUGCUCCGCCUGGGGGGUACGCUCGCAAGAGU
RNAcentral lists this ribosomal RNA (524 nucleotides) under uncultured bacterium. RNAcentral's name for it is "bacterial SSU rRNA". It matches the Rfam family "Bacterial small subunit ribosomal RNA", at positions 355 to 895 of the family's 1533-position model. The record is from RNAcentral.